GAUUAGAUACCCUGGUAGUCCACGCCGUAAACGAUGUCGACUUGGAGGUUGUUCCCUUGAGGAGUGGCUUCCGGAGCUAACGCGUUAAGUCGACCGCCUGGGGAGUACGGCCGCAAGGUUAAAACUCAAAUGAAUUGACGGGGGCCCGCACAAGCGGUGGAGCAUGUGGUUUAAUUCGAUGCAACGCGAAGAACCUUACCUACUCUUGACAUCCACGGAAUUCGGCAGAGAUGCCUUAGUGCCUUCGGGAACCGUGAGACAGGUGCUGCAUGGCUGUCGUCAGCUCGUGUUGUGAAAUGUUGGGUUAAGUCCCGCAACGAGCGCAACCCUUAUCCUUUGUUGCCAGCGAUUCGGUCGGGAACUCAAAGGAGACUGCCGGUGAUAAACCGGAGGAAGGUGGGGAUGACGUCAAGUCAUCAUGGCCCUUACGAGUAGGGCUACACACGUGCUACAAUGGCGCAUACAAAGAGAAGCGACCUCGCGAGAGCAAGCGGACCUCAUAAAGUGCGUCGUAGUCCGGAUCGGAGUCUGCAACUCGACUCCGUGAAGUCGGAAUCGCUAGUAAUCGUGGAUCAGAAUGCCACGGUGAAUACGUUCCCGGGCCUUGUACACACCGCCCGUCACACCAUGGGAGUGGGUUGCAAAAGAAGUAGGUAGCUCAACCUUCGGGAGGGCGCUUACCACUUUGUGAUUCAUGACUGGGGUGAAGUCGUAACAAGG
This 720-nucleotide ribosomal RNA is filed under the name uncultured bacterium. RNAcentral describes it as "bacterial SSU rRNA". It matches the Rfam family "Bacterial small subunit ribosomal RNA", at positions 776 to 1496 of the family's 1533-position model. The record is from RNAcentral.